CCACGCCGUAAACGGUGGGUACUAGGUGUGGGUUUCCUUCUUCGCGAUCCGUGCCGUAGCUAACGCAUUAAGUACCCCGCCUGGGGAGUACGGCCGCAAGGCUAAAACUCUAAGAAAUUGACGGGGGCCCGCACAAGCGGCGGAGCAUGUGGAUUAAUUCGAUGCAACGCGAAGAACCUUACCUGGGUUUGACAUGCACAGGACGCCGGCAGAGAUGUCGGUUCCCUUGUGGCCUGUGUGCAGGUGGUGCAUGGCUGUCGUCAGCUCGUGUCGUGAGAUGUUGGGUUAAGUCCCGCAACGAGCGCAACCCUUGUCUCAUGUUGCCAGCGGGUAAUGCCGGGGACUCGUGAGAGACUGCCGGGGUCAACUCGGAGGAAGGUGGGGAUGACGUCAAGUCAUCAUGCCCCUUAUGUCCAGGGCUUCACACAUGCUACAAUGGCCGGUACAAAGGGCUGCGAUGCCGCGAGGUUAAGCGAAUCCUUUUAAAGCCGGUCUCAGUUUGGAUCGGGGUCUGCAACUCGACCCCGUGAAGUCGGAGUCGCUAGUAAUCGCAGAUCAGCACGCUGCGGUGAUACGUUCCCGGGC
Molecule: ribosomal RNA, 585 nt
Filed under: uncultured bacterium
Lineage: Bacteria
Description: bacterial SSU rRNA
Rfam family: Bacterial small subunit ribosomal RNA
Source: RNAcentral